Molecule: RNase P RNA, 305 nt
Filed under: Stenotrophomonas maltophilia
Lineage: Bacteria; Pseudomonadati; Pseudomonadota; Gammaproteobacteria; Lysobacterales; Lysobacteraceae
Also listed under: 2 other names
Description: RNase P RNA component class A
Rfam family: Bacterial RNase P class A
About the family: Ribonuclease P (RNase P) is a ubiquitous endoribonuclease, found in archaea, bacteria and eukarya as well as chloroplasts and mitochondria. Its best characterised activity is the generation of mature 5'-ends of tRNAs by cleaving the 5'-leader elements of precursor-tRNAs.
Source: RNAcentral
AGCGGCGCUUGCGCGGCCGCUUCCUACCUGCCAGACUCGCAAAAAAGGGCGGUUGAACUUCCUAUACCCAAGAUACCGCCUACGUCUUCUUCGGAAGGCCGGUAAGGGUGAAAUGGUGCGGUAAGAGCGCACCGCGAGUCUGGCAACAGACCGGCACGGCAAACCCCACCUGGAGCAAGACCAAAUAGGGAUCCUUUGGCGCGGCCCGCGUUGGAUCCGGGUAGGUUGCUUGAGCGUUGCGGUGACGUAACGCCUAGAGGAAUGACUGUCCACGACAGAACCCGGCUUAUCGGCCGGCUCCGCCU